CGAGCGGAAACGACACUAACAAUCCUUCGGGUGCGUUAAUGGGCGUCGAGCGGCGGACGGGUGAGUAAUGCCUAGGAAAUUGCCUUGAUGUGGGGGAUAACCAUUGGAAACGAUGGCUAAUACCGCAUAAUGCCUACGGGCCAAAGAGGGGGACCUUCGGGCCUCUCGCGUCAAGAUAUGCCUAGGUGGGAUUAGCUAGUUGGUGAGGUAAUGGCUCACCAAGGCGACGAUCCCUAGCUGGUCUGAGAGGAUGAUCAGCCACACUGGAACUGAGACACGGUCCAGACUCCUACGGGAGGCAGCAGUGGGGAAUAUUGCACAAUGGGCGAAAGCCUGAUGCAGCCAUGCCGCGUGUAUGAAGAAGGCCUUCGGGUUGUGAAGUACUUUCAGUUGUGAGGAAGGGUGUGUAGUUAAUAGCUGCGCAUCUUGACGUUAGCAACAGAAGAAGCACCGGCUAACUCCGUGCCAGCAGCCGCGGUAAUACGGAGGGUGCGAGCGUUAAUCGGAAUUACUG
RNAcentral lists this ribosomal RNA (514 nucleotides) under uncultured Vibrio sp. RNAcentral's name for it is "bacterial SSU rRNA". It matches the Rfam family "Bacterial small subunit ribosomal RNA", at positions 63 to 556 of the family's 1533-position model. Lineage: Bacteria; Pseudomonadati; Pseudomonadota; Gammaproteobacteria; Vibrionales; Vibrionaceae. The record is from RNAcentral.